UCAUUACCGAGUUUACAACUCCCAAACCCCUGUGAACAUACC
RNAcentral lists this ribosomal RNA (42 nucleotides) under Fusarium equiseti. RNAcentral's name for it is "partial 18S ribosomal RNA". Lineage: Eukaryota; Fungi; Ascomycota; Sordariomycetes; Hypocreales; Nectriaceae. The record is from RNAcentral.